Molecule: ribosomal RNA, 43 nt
Filed under: Amblyomma scalpturatum
Lineage: Eukaryota; Metazoa; Arthropoda; Arachnida; Ixodida; Ixodidae
Description: partial 28S ribosomal RNA
Source: RNAcentral
CAAAUCAGAUCAGGCAGCAGACAACCCCCUGAAUUUAAGCAUA